Non-coding RNA from Pelobates cultripes (western spadefoot toad), 349 nucleotides. The record is from the annotation of a GenBank genome assembly. Lineage: Eukaryota; Metazoa; Chordata; Amphibia; Anura; Pelobatidae.
GUUGGGUGGGGAUGUGGGAGGUGCCCGAUGAGUUGUCCCAUGAUGGGUCAAGAGUUAUGUUGAAGUCGCCCCCUAGUAUUAAAGUCCCUUCCGCGAAUUCUUGAAGUUUGCGAAGUGUCUGUUUGAGGAAGCGGUAGUGUUGUGUGUUUGGGGCAUAGAUGUUUGCGAAUGUGUACUGGUGUCCAGCGAUCUUCCCUUUAAGGAAUAUGUAUCUUCCUUCAUCAUCCGUUUUGCAUCCCCCCUCCUGGAACGGCACCCUCUUGUGGAGGAGUAUUGCUGUCCCCCUGGCCUUACCCCCUUGAAAAUCGCUAUAGUAACCUUGUGUGUAGUGCUGAUUAGUCAGUUUGGG